This 499-nucleotide ribosomal RNA is filed under the name uncultured bacterium. Its description in RNAcentral is "bacterial SSU rRNA". It matches the Rfam family "Bacterial small subunit ribosomal RNA", at positions 29 to 507 of the family's 1533-position model. The record is from RNAcentral.
ACGAUCGCUGGCGGCGUGCCUAAUACAUGCAAGUCGAGCGGAAUGAUGAAGAAGCUUGCUUCUUCUGAUUUUAGCGGCGGACGGGUGAGUAACACGUGGGCAACCUACCUUGUAGAUUGGGAUAACUCCGGGAAACCGGGGCUAAUACCGAAUAAUCCAUUUUGCUUCAUGGCGAGAUGUUAAAAGGCGGCUUCGGCUGUCACUACGAGAUGGGCCCGCGGCGCAUUAGCUAGUUGGUAGGGUAAUGGCCUACCAAGGCGACGAUGCGUAGCCGACCUGAGAGGGUGAUCGGCCACACUAGGACUGAGACACGGCCCAGACUCCUACGGGAGGCAGCAGUAGGGAAUCUUCCACAAUGGACGAAAGUCUGAUGGAGCAACGCCGCGUGAGUGAAGAAGGUUUUCGGAUCGUAAAACUCUGUUGUAAGGGAAGAACACGUACGAGAGUAACUGCUCGUACCUUGACGGUACCUUAUUAGAAAGCCACGGCUAACUACGUG